UGCGGGAUGACGGCCUUCNGGGUUGUAAACCGCUUUCAGCAGGGAAGAAGCGAAAGUGACGGUACCUGCAGAAGAAGUACCGGCUAACUACGUGCCAGCAGCCGCGGUAAUACGUAGGGUACGAGCGUUGUCCGGAAUUAUUGGGCGUAAAGAGCUCGUAGGUGGUUGGUCACGUCUGCUGUGGAAACGCAACGCUUAACGUUGCGCGUGCAGUGGGUACGGGCUGACUAGAGUGCAGUAGGGGAGUCUGGAAUUCCUGGUGUAGCGGUGAAAUGCGCAGAUAUCAGGAGGAACACCGGUGGCGAAGGCGGGACUCUGGGCUGUAACUGACACUGAGGAGCGAAAGCAUGGGGAGCGAACAGGAUUAGAUACCCUGGUAGUCCAUGCCGUAAACGUUGGGCACUAGGUGUGGGGGACAUUCCACGUUCUCCGCGCCGUAGCUAACGCAUUAAGUGCCCCGCCUGGGGAGUACGGUCGCAAGGCUAAAACUCAAAGGAAUUGACGGGGGCCCGCACAAGCGGCGGAGCAUGCGGAUUAAUUCGAUGCAACGCGAAGAACCUUACCAAGGCUUGACAUACACUGGACCGUUCUGGAAACAGUUCUUCUCUUUGGAGCUGGUGUACAGGUGGUGCAUGGUUGUCGUCAGCUCGUGUCGUGAGAUGUUGGGUUAAGUCCCGCAACGAGCGCAACCCUCGUUCUAUGUUGCCAGCACGUGAUGGUGGGAACUCAUAGGAGACUGCCGGGGUCAACUCGGAGGAAGGUGGGGAUGACGUCAAAUCAUCAUGCCCUUUAUGUCUUGGGCUUCACGCAUGCUACAAUGGCUGGUACAGAGAGAGGCGAACCCGUGAGGGUAAGCGAAUCCCUUAAAGCCAGUCUCAGUUCGGAUCGUAGUCUGCNNNUCGACUACGUGAAGUCGGAGUCGCUAGUAAUCGCAGAUCAGCAACGCUGCGGUGAAUACGUUCCCGGGCCUUGUACACACCGCNCGUCAAAGUCACGAAAGUCGGUAACACCCGAAGCCGGUGUCC
Molecule: ribosomal RNA, 1025 nt
Filed under: Brevibacterium iodinum
Lineage: Bacteria; Bacillati; Actinomycetota; Actinomycetes; Micrococcales; Brevibacteriaceae
Description: bacterial SSU rRNA
Rfam family: Bacterial small subunit ribosomal RNA
Source: RNAcentral